UUAAUUGAAGCCAAAAAAGAGGCAUAUUACUGUUAAUAAUAUUAAUGAAUAAUUUCCAAUUAAA
This 64-nucleotide transfer RNA is filed under the name Trechoblemus micros. RNAcentral describes it as "tRNA-Asn". The record is from RNAcentral. Lineage: Eukaryota; Metazoa; Arthropoda; Insecta; Coleoptera; Carabidae.